UACGUAGGGUGCGAGCGUUAAUCGGAAUCACUGGGCUUACAGAGUUCGUAGGCGGUCUGGAAAGUUGGGUGUGAAAUCCCUCGGCUCAACCGAGGAACUGCGCUCAAAACUACCCGACUCGAGGGAGAUAGAGGAAAGCGGAACUGAUGGUGGAGCGGUGAAAUGCGUUGAUAUCAUCAGGAACACCGGUGGCGAAGGCGGCUUUCUGGGUCUUACCUGACGCUGAGGAACGAAAGCUAGGGGAGCGAACGGG
This 253-nucleotide ribosomal RNA is filed under the name uncultured bacterium. Its description in RNAcentral is "partial 16S ribosomal RNA". It matches the Rfam family "Bacterial small subunit ribosomal RNA", at positions 524 to 776 of the family's 1533-position model. The record is from RNAcentral.